RNAcentral lists this small RNA (117 nucleotides) under Marmota monax (woodchuck). The record is from RNAcentral. Lineage: Eukaryota; Metazoa; Chordata; Mammalia; Rodentia; Sciuridae.
GCCAGGCACAGUGGCACAUGACUGUAGUCCCAGCUACUUGGGAGGCUGAGGUAGGACUAUUACUUGUGCCCCAGAGUUCUAGGCCAGCCUGGGCAACAUAGCAAGACCCAGUCCCCA